This 1014-nucleotide ribosomal RNA is filed under the name Janthinobacterium svalbardense. Its description in RNAcentral is "bacterial SSU rRNA". It matches the Rfam family "Bacterial small subunit ribosomal RNA", at positions 57 to 1067 of the family's 1533-position model. Lineage: Bacteria; Pseudomonadati; Pseudomonadota; Betaproteobacteria; Burkholderiales; Oxalobacteraceae. The record is from RNAcentral.
GCAGUCGAACGGCAGCACGGAGCUUGCUCUGGUGGCGAGUGGCGAACGGGUGAGUAAUAUAUCGGAACGUACCCUAGAGUGGGGGAUAACGUAGCGAAAGUUACGCUAAUACCGCAUACGAUCUAAGGAUGAAAGUGGGGGAUCGCAAGACCUCAUGCUCGUGGAGCGGCCGAUAUCUGAUUAGCUAGUUGGUAGGGUAAAAGCCUACCAAGGCAUCGAUCAGUAGCUGGUCUGAGAGGACGACCAGCCACACUGGAACUGAGACACGGUCCAGACUCCUACGGGAGGCAGCAGUGGGGAAUUUUGGACAAUGGGCGAAAGCCUGAUCCAGCAAUGCCGCGUGAGUGAAGAAGGCCUUCGGGUUGUAAAGCUCUUUUGUCAGGGAAGAAACGGUGANAGCUAAUAUCUUUUGCUAAUGACGGUACCUGAAGAAUAAGCACCGGCUAACUACGUGCCAGCAGCCGCGGUAAUACGUAGGGUGCAAGCGUUAAUCGGAAUUACUGGGCGUAAAGCGUGCGCAGGCGGUUUUGUAAGUCUGAUGUGAAAUCCCCGGGCUCAACCUGGGAAUUGCAUUGGAGACUGCAAGGCUAGAAUCUGGCAGAGGGGGGUAGAAUUCCACGUGUAGCAGUGAAAUGCGUAGAUAUGUGGAGGAACACCGAUGGCGAAGGCAGCCCCCUGGGUCAAGAUUGACGCUCAUGCACGAAAGCGUGGGGAGCAAACAGGAUUAGAUACCCUGGUAGUCCACGCCCUAAACGAUGUCUACUAGUUGUCGGGUCUUAAUUGACUUGGUAACGCAGCUAACGCGUGAAGUAGACCGCCUGGGGAGUACGGUCGCAAGAUUAAAACUCAAAGGAAUUGACGGGGACCCGCACAAGCGGUGGAUGAUGUGGAUUAAUUCGAUGCAACGCGAAAAACCUUACCUACCCUUGACAUGGCUGGAAUCCUUGAGAAAUCAGGGAGUGCUCGAAAAAAACCAGUACACAGGUGCUGCAUGGCUGUCGUCAGCUCGUGUCG